GUUCAUCCCUUAUUCGCUUUGCAAUACCAUUUCGACUUCCUGACGUCUUCGAGCGUACACGUCUCGUCCAAAUCCUUUACGAGAAUAAGAUAAUACUAUAGUCACUAAACAAUAUAUCGCAUAUACAUAUCACGUAUACCGAUACCCACUUAUAUACCCCUCUUUAAACUUAUCACAUAUCACUUAACACAUAAUCAUGCUUUGACUCUACCAAAUAGUCAAGUCAUAUUCCACAUAACAUAUUAUCAAUCAAUUAUCCUAUAAAUCUUAUCGAUAAUUUGACAGCGUCUCCUCUAUUUAUUAGAGUAUCCCCCUGUCAACAUAUUCCAAACAAUCAACUCCAGUCACUAUAAUCCAUAUAUUCUUAUCCAAUAUCAAUCAUACGAAUCAUUUAUCACUUCACAAUAUCAAAACUAACACGUACUUCACAUAAUCAUCACCUAAUAGCACUUAGAUCACAUAUUAUCACAUUAUGCAUACUUAUCAACAAUUAUUCACCUUAUAGACUCAGCCAUAUAGUCACAUCAUAUUAAAAUAGACGUUAUAAGCUUCUGUCUCUCUUUCGUUUCACUUGAUUCCGACUUACGGAUCAAAAGUUAUGCUCAAAACAGUUUUCUCACUCUCCUAUCGGCACAUAACACAUCCAACCAAUAGCAGACAACACACAACACAUAAGGUUUCCCAUCCCAAUUGAUAUUAAAUCAAGUCUUGGGUUAAAAAUGAUUUUUCGGGAAUUUUCCAGAAUUUUUAAACAUUUUUCGGAAUUAAAAUCGAUAAAAGAAUCACUUUUUGAAUAAAUAAUCAAGUCCGGAUGCUCAAAACUGGACUUGAAAUCAUUCAUAAACAAUUGUCGAGCCUUGAACAUAAUUUGGAAAAAUAUUUUAAAGCUCGAAACUAUUUUUCGGAAUUUUUAAAUCAAAAAGGAUUAAUUAAAUCCAAUUAAUUAAUCAAUUAAAAUCAAUUAAUAAUUAAUUAAAAUAAUUAAUCAAUUAAUAUUUAAAUUAAUUGACCAAUUAAAAUAAUUAAUUACUAAUUAAAAUUAAUUAACAAACUAAUUUAGAUUUAUUUUUGAAUAAAGAAAUAAUUAAAAACUAUUUUUGAAAUUUAAAAUAAUUAAAUAAAAACAUUUUUGAAAAUAUUUUGUAAAAGGUUUAAACUGUAAAAAUCUAAAAGUUUGCACUCGGGGUGCAAUGUGUCAAAUUCAAAAGUUUCAGGGUCGAAAACGUUUAAUAUGAAACUCGGGUACGAAGACUUCACCGUUUCCAAAAGUUGGGGGUACUAAACGGCACUUUUGCACCGCCUUCCCCCCGACUUCGCCGGAAACGGCGUCUUCCACCUCCGUUCUUUACCCAAAUCACCCAGAACUCAAGCUUAAGCCACCAGGAAGCUGAUGAACAGAUCAAUUUGCUCAAAAGCACGACCAUUUGGCCGUAUUUUCGAAACAAAAAUCACGCCGCCGCCAAGUUCUUCAACUCCGGCGAGGCUGCUACAAACCUCCUCCAUCAAAACCGAUCACACCAAUCGAUUCUACACAACCCACCGAACAUGUUCCAAUCAUCAAAACUCACCUAGACUUAACCGAACUCAGAAAUCGAAUUUUCAAUUAAAAGCUUCAAGAACAAACGAAGAACAUUCAAGCACAUACAAUCUCAGAAUCAACCUAACGUUUCAAUAUGAUUCCGAACUCCAAAUUCAACAAAUAAUAUACCAAAACGACGAGAAAAACACGCUCUACAACAUGGCAUCAUCAAAUCAAUCAAACAAGAUCAGUUACAAAAAUUUAUCAUUUAAAAAUCAAAUAAUUCGAAUUUUAUAAAAAUAAUCUAAAAUCACCUGUUGAAUCUGCACACAAACGGAUGAUUAAACUAGAUUCUACGCGUCGAUAGCUUCGUUUUGACUAUUCAUACGCCUCCAUCGGAUUCCAAUAACACCUCCAAAUCUUCGUUUGAUUAUGAAGAACACGAAGAACAUACUUCGGUUUCUCUCGGUAUUCGUGCAAAGAAACUGGUGAAAAUGAUUUUUUACGGUGAAAAUAAGUUACAAGAAAGUCUAUUUAUAUUUACAAAUAAUUGGUACCCCUUUGGAUCGUUUAUGACAUGAAAAUACGUAUUAAUAGCUUUAUAUUAAUAAAGCGGGGUCCAAUCGGUACUGGUUUUUGAGAUAAUCAUCAAAACGGGGCUUUUAAACUCAAUCAUUGGUCUGGGGGUCCCAUUUGCACGUAUUUCGAUAAAAAGUAAUAUAAUAAUCAAAAUAUCUGGCUUUCACGUAUAUCGAGACAAACCAGAUAAUUAUCAACAAUUAAAAUACCCGAAAAACUCCGCCGGACCGACUCCGGGGAAAACCGUACUCCGGAUCGAAAAAGUCAAAACACGAAAAAUGUCCGGAAUAUUCAAAUUAGGCUAAAGGUGAGUUUUGUUGAAACUUCCGGGAAGAAAAUUUGCUACACCGUUACGAGUGGACGGUUUUACGGAAGUCAAAUAAUUAAUAAAUAAAUAUAAAUAUACGCAAUUAAAUCCGUAAAUCGAUUAUAAAAUCAUCUAACAUUCCAUAAAUCGAUAUGAAAAUAUCCAAAUAAACUAUAUUUUCUCCUGAGCAUAUAGAAAUUGAAAUCUCUCAAAUACGAACACAUAUGAGCAGUUAACGCAAUAACCCAGAUAAUAUAAAGUUCACAAAAAUUCAUAUAUUAAUCAUAUAAUACUCAUAAUUAACCAUAAUUAAUUAACCAACAAAUCCACCAAUACCACUUACUCACAUCACACAUAUAUUCACAUAAUAAUCAUCUAGAAUUUUCGAAACAAUAUAUGAAAAUCAGUUUUAAAAAUAUAAUCAUUUAUCAAUAACACAAUAACCCGGGGUUUAAUAUAAAAUUUUGAAAACUCCUUAAACUGGAAUAAAAUAUUAAAUCUUAUUCCUUACUUAUUAAGAAGACCACUUAUAAUACUAAUAAAAAUAUUUUUAAAAAUCCGAGUCAUUACAAUCUACCCUCCUUAUAGGGAUUUCGUCCUCGGAAUCAGAGAAAGAAGGAGGAUGCAUAAUCUGUAAAAUCCAUAUUAAUCCACAACACAAGUAUAAUCACAUACAACUAUUCACAUAAUCAUAUCAAUAUUCAACUAGAGCCAACAAUAAUAUCUAGACAAAUAGAUUUAUAAUAAUCAACAUACUAAAUUUAAUAAUAUGGGAUAUUACAGGAUCAGCUGCAACUACUCCUAUGGCAACAGCAACCAAACUAGACAAAGAUACUGGUGCAUCAGUGGAUAUCACAAUAUGGGAUAUUACAUUCUACCCCCCUUAUAAGGAUUCCGCCCUCGGAAUCCGCGAAGAAAACUAAAACGUAUCAUUUGUAAAAUCAUUGUACACGCUUCAUAAUAUCACAUGCUCAUCCGCCCUUAAUCAACCUUGGCAUACCUUCAAAGUUAAAUAAAUAGGAGAAUCAAAGCCUUCACAAUUGCAAACUUCAUUUCCCAAGAAUCAAUCUUUUGGAAAUUUCGGAGGAACAAGAUAUUUUCAAAAUAGGUCACAUUGGAAUACAAGAGUGACUGGGAGAUCAAUAUGAUCAAAUGAACUUAAUGUUGCGUGUCCAUAUUAGACACUACUAAAGGUUGUUAACCUUCUUGUAAUCACAACACACACAAGUGAUGGCGUCCCAUCCAACUCCUAUCACACAGACAGGUAUACCUUGUGUCCCCUAUACAUAGGGUUGUUCAUCCCAAUCAGAUGGAAAGAAUCCCCGAAAUCUCAAUGAGCAUCAAGGAAUGUUAAGGAUUAUCGAGGAAUAUAUUAAGGAAUAUCGAAAAGAUAUCAAAGAAUAUCAAAGAGUGUCAAAGAAUAUCAAUGAAUAUUAAGGGAUAUCAAAGAAUAUGGAAGAAUAUCAAGGGAUAUCAAAGAAUAUCAAAUAAUAUCAAGGAAUUCCACUGUCUCUUCAUAAACACGUCUUUAUCAUACACCGAUUCAAUACUAACUCACACCAAUAAUCAAUAUCAUUAACAUCUUAGAAUUAUCAAAACUUUUGUAGAAAAGAUAUCAUGAUAAUAUCUCACUGAUGAGAAAACAAUCAAAAGAAUCUUUAGUUGAAGAGAGGUAUUGCCAAGGUCUUCUCAGAUUCCGACUCUACUUCAAUAAAUCAUUGUACGAUAUAUGUCUUCUUUUCAACGUUCUUGAAAAUCAAUCGAUUUGACUCGUAAUAGCCUCAUAAGAUGUCAUCGUAGACGUUAUAGUUCGUAAUAAGUCUGGCCCAAGUAGUUCACAUUCUUCUACUUUAUCCCAGUUGCCUUUGAAAUCCAUAGCACAAACACGUAGCGUAUCUUCUAUUCUCUGACUCGUCAACCUGUGGGUUAUGGGCCCACCUUGUCCCGCUUAACUUAAAGCGUAGUCGUCGAGAAUUAACAAUUCUAACUUACUCGCAAAUAUCGCUUCUAAUAACCUGACUCAACUUCACUUACUCUCUAUCAUGCACUUCUCAUCUAUCAACCUCUAUCUACAAAUCUCUUCUUCUAAUCCAAUACAACUCAUACUCUACACUUACUCUUCAUAUCUUCACUCAAAACAAUAUACAUCUUCCAAAUAUCUGACAUGGUCAACAUACUAUGAACCAUGCAUUUAUAUCAUCCUCAAAUCAAUACAAUAAUCCAAUUUCAAAUAUGCAGUAUAGUCAGAAUACUCUGAACUCUGCAUUUUCACCAUUCUCAACUCAAUCAUUCACUAUCAAACUCUUCUAUAUAGGUCUAAUACUGACCUUUUCCACAAUUCACCAUCUCAAUUAAUCAACAUACUAGAAAUCAUAUGUCUAAACUUAAGAAUCCUAAUCUCUUUAAAUAUCCACACUUAACUUGAUCAUCUAACUAAACUCUAUGCUUCACUCACAUCUCUAGACUAUUCCUAAAUAGUCCGACCAUACCUCUAUGUGAGGUUACACCACAUUCUUCUCUAGAAAACCUAUAACUAUGAUCUAUAUUCUAAUUUCAAAUACUUAUAACCUGUUGCUCUGAUACCAACUGUGACAGUCCGAGAAUCCGGGGGUCUGGAUUCUGACGUCACCACAUAAAACCCAUUUUUAAACACUUUUGAAAUCCUGAAUUUUUUUUAUUUUUUUUUUUUUAAUGAAAAUAAAAGUCAAAGGAUUUAAAACUUGAAAUUCAAACUUGAAAGCCAUAAUAAAAGAUCUGAAAGACGUUAAAUGAAAGAUUUGAAAGAGAACAUCUUCACCCCCAAAACAACAGGAUCGCUUCCAGGUUACAGUAUUGAAAUUAGAAUCAACCACUAUUAUUACACAACUUUUCUUACCAAGUCAGAUCAUCUUCGAUAAGAAGAAUCACUGUCAACUAUUCCAGCUAUGACUUACACUUGAAUCCUUAUAGCACAGCUCUAGCUUGCAUCAACCUCAUCAACUUCCCUGAACACUCCUCAAUCACUGGAUCCUCAACUCUGUCUCCUCGCCUAGCAUUAGCCUUAUUCACCAUCACAGUCUAGCCACUCAUCUUUAAGCCUUUCUGAAAUGGUUAGAAAGGAAUAGCAAGGGUGAGCAACAACGCUCAGCAAGUAGUAAUAAACAAUGAUAGUUCUGAAAUGAUAUAACAGAAGUUCACGAGUUCAAGAUAUAAAAAGAUUCAACUUGAGUUCACAAAUUCAGGUAUUGUAUAAAAGAAUCACAAUACCUUGCAGCAAUAGAAACCUGAGGAAUUCAAUCCUUCACAAGAGAAUUAUUGAAUUGGACUAUCACAUUUUAAUUAAAAACCAAGGUUAGGAUGCUGAUCAGUCAUACCUAACCCCGAGCAGGCCCCGCCAUGCUCUAUCACUGGAU
This 5797-nucleotide long non-coding RNA is filed under the name Daucus carota (carrot). RNAcentral's name for it is "long non-coding RNA (DCAR_LNC005765)". Lineage: Eukaryota; Viridiplantae; Streptophyta; Magnoliopsida; Apiales; Apiaceae. The record is from RNAcentral.